Molecule: ribosomal RNA, 497 nt
Filed under: uncultured bacterium
Lineage: Bacteria
Description: partial 16S ribosomal RNA
Rfam family: Bacterial small subunit ribosomal RNA
Source: RNAcentral
GAUGAACGCUGGCGGCGUGCCUAAUACAUGCAAGUCGAGCGAACAGAUGAGGAGCUUGCUCCUCUGACGUUAGCGGCGGACGGGUGAGUAACACGUGGAUAACCUACCUAUAAGACUGGGAUAACUUCGGGAAACCGGAGCUAAUACCGGAUAAUAUAUUGAACCGCAUGGUUCAAUAGUGAAAGACGGUUUUGCUGUCACUUAUAGAUGGAUCCGCGCCGCAUUAGCUAGUUGGUAAGGUAACGGCUUACCAAGGCAACGAUGCGUAGCCGACCUGAGAGGGUGAUCGGCCACACUGGAACUGAGACACGGUCCAGACUCCUACGGGAGGCAGCAGUAGGGAAUAUUCCGCAAUGGGCGAAAGCCUGACGGAGCAACGCCGCGUGAGUGAUGAAGGUCUUCGGAUCGUAAAACUCUGUUAUUAGGGAAGAACAAAUGUGUAAGUAACUAUGCACGUCUUGACGGUACCUAAACAGAAAGCCACGGCUAACUACGUG